This 485-nucleotide ribosomal RNA is filed under the name uncultured bacterium. RNAcentral's name for it is "partial 16S ribosomal RNA". It matches the Rfam family "Bacterial small subunit ribosomal RNA", at positions 899 to 1397 of the family's 1533-position model. The record is from RNAcentral.
ACUCAAAUGAAUUGACGGGGGCCCGCACAAGCAGCGGAGCGUGUGGUUUAAUUCGACGCGACGCGAAGAACCUUACCAGGGCUUGACAUCGGCGCGCAAGGGCCCGAAAGGGCCGCCUCCCGCGAGGGACGCGCCGACAGAUGCUGCAUGGCUGUCGUCAGCUCGUGCCGUGAGGUGUUGGGUUAAGUCCCGCAACGAGCGCAACCCCCGCCCCCAGUUACCGUGUCUGGGGGGACUGCCGCGACAAACGCGGAGGAGGGUGGGGAUGACGUCAAGUCAGCACGGCUCGCACGCCCUGGGCGACACACACGCUACAAUGGGCGCGACAAGGGGCGGCGAGAUCGCAAGGUGGAGCCAAUCCCGCCAAAGGCGCCCCCAGUUCGGAUCGGCGUCUGCAACCCGACGCCGUGAAGGCGGAGUUGCUAGUAACCGCGGGUCAGCACACCGCGGUGAAUACGUUCCCGGGCCUUGUACACACCGCCCGU